GCAUUUUAUGAUGAUUUUGUUUUUUUCUUUGUUUGGUCAAUUUAUUUAUCAUCCUCACUCCUGUACUUCUUGGGAAUUGAAUUCCAUAUAACACAGAGAAUUUCCCAUGGGUCCUAAUGCCUAACUCAGUGGACGUGAAUUAUCAGAAGCAAGGAUUAAAAAAGAAGACCCCCAUGUGGAAGAGACGGUUGUCUUGUGACCGUUUUUUGGAUUUUCUACAUAGAGUUUUAUCACAAGUUGUGGAGACCCUUCUCUGGGUGGGCUCUCUGCCAACGCAUAAUUCUGAAAUGUCCAGCUCAUUCCUCAUUUGUCGAUUAAUCUUACAUGGAUUGUUCUAAGUUGUUAGUUGUGCUCAAUGUACAUUCAAUUUGAGUUCCAUAUGAUUCCCAAGUUACUAGCAGAGACGUUUUGAAAUUUGGGCGUGAAAUGGAACUAGGAUUAGAUUACUGUUGUUAAGGCCAGAGGGGGUGGUGAUUCAGAUUGAGAUAUUGUUCUUUCCUGUAGCUGCGCAAAAGGCAGAUUUGGAAGUUCUGUUUUGCACCAAUUGAUUUUUGGUUUAAAUAUGCAGUUAAAGUGGUAG
This 580-nucleotide unclassified non-coding RNA is filed under the name Hevea brasiliensis (rubber tree). Lineage: Eukaryota; Viridiplantae; Streptophyta; Magnoliopsida; Malpighiales; Euphorbiaceae. The record is from RNAcentral.